UCCUCUCUAUUUAUACCUAAAACUCCACCACUCCUUCCUCUCUCUCUCUCUCGCUUCUGAUCAAAUGGAGAAACUGGCCGCCGCCAUUGCUUCGAUUCUGCUCUCCUUCCGCCGCCGCUUCGAUUAGUUCCAGACAAAGGCCCAGCCCAAACCUGUCAGGAUCUAAAAAUUAAAUAAUUUUUAGAUUCCGGCGGAGCUUGCGAGAAUCGAAGGGGAUGGCAGAUAGGGCUUAUUGGGACGAUCGGCAUUCCUAACGACACUGUCGUUCAAGCCAGAGAUCUCUGGGAGCAUAAGACUUUGGAAAAGCAAUUUGUGGGAAAUAUAUCGCACACUUGAAGAGGAUGAAGAGGAUGAAUAUUGAAGAGGAUGAAUAUUUUCUUUUAUGUUAAUAUUCGUUAAUAAAAUUCAAGUAGAAUCCCUUUCUUUCCCCUUUCUCUAAUAAUCAGGUCAGCUCCAGAACCGGCGGAAUUGUCCAAUCCUAUCUUUCCAGGAAGUCAGUCCGGAGCGGGAGCAACUGAUAGAGCAAAUUCUGACUAAACUCGGGGUGUAGGAGGUCUUUUUGAGCGCAUCUUUUUCAUAUCGAUCAAGCGGGUUUCGUUUCAUUUUCCGGACGGAAAACCUGUCAUACUAUUUAUUCCACUUUAGCUAAGCUAAUGAUGAAACGAUUACUAAUGUAAUGUACCUAUUAUAGUUCCU
Non-coding RNA from Cucurbita pepo subsp. pepo (vegetable marrow), 696 nucleotides. NCBI's taxonomy places the organism in Eukaryota, Viridiplantae, Streptophyta, Magnoliopsida, Cucurbitales, Cucurbitaceae. The record is from RefSeq and is a predicted model, not a curated record.